RNAcentral lists this ribosomal RNA (497 nucleotides) under uncultured bacterium. RNAcentral describes it as "partial 16S ribosomal RNA". It matches the Rfam family "Bacterial small subunit ribosomal RNA", at positions 28 to 507 of the family's 1533-position model. The record is from RNAcentral.
GAUGAACGCUGGCGGCGUGCCUAAUACAUGCAAGUCGAGCGAACGGACGAGAAGCUUGCUUCUCUGAUGUUAGCGGCGGACGGGUGAGUAACACGUGGAUAACCUACCUAUAAGACUGGGAUAACUUCGGGAAACCGGAGCUAAUACCGGAUAAUAUUUUGAACCGCAUGGUUCAAAAGUGAAAGACGGUCUUGCUGUCACUUGUAGAUGGAUCCGCGCUGCAUUAGCUAGUUGGUAAGGUAACGGCUUACCAAGGCAACGAUGCAUAGCCGACCUGAGAGGGUGAUCGGCCACACUGGAACUGAGACACGGCCCAGACUCCUACGGGAGGCAGCAGUAGGGAAUCUUCCGCAAUGGGCGAAAGCCUGACGGAGCAACGCCGCGUGAGUGAUGAAGGUCUUCGGAUCGUAAAACUCUGUUAUUAGGGAAGAACAUAUGUGUAAGUAACUGUGCACAUCUUGACGGUACCUAAUCAGAAAGCCACGGCUAACUACGUG